CAAGGCGACGAUCCCUAGCUGGUCUGAGAGGAUGACCAGCCACACUGGAACUGAGACACGGUCCAGACUCCUACGGGAGGCAGCAGUGGGGAAUAUUGCACAAUGGGCGCAAGCCUGAUGCAGCCAUGCCGCGUGUAUGAAGAAGGCCUUCGGGUUGUAAAGUACUUUCAGCGGGGAGGAAGGUGUUGUGGUUAAUAACCGCAGCAAUUGACGUUACCCGCAGAAGAAGCACCGGCUAACUCCGUGCCAGCAGCCGCGGUAAUACGGAGGGUGCAAGCGUUAAUCGGAAUUACUGGGCGUAAAGCGCACGCAGGCGGUCUGUCAAGUCGGAUGUGAAAUCCCCGGGCUCAACCUGGGAACUGCAUUCGAAACUGGCAGGCUUGAGUCUUGUAGAGGGGGGUAGAAUUCCAGGUGUAGCGGUGAAAUGCGUAGAGAUCUGGAGGAAUACCGGUGGCGAAGGCGGCCCCCUGGACAAAGACUGACGCUCAGGUGCGAAAGCGUG
Molecule: ribosomal RNA, 502 nt
Filed under: Salmonella enterica
Lineage: Bacteria; Pseudomonadati; Pseudomonadota; Gammaproteobacteria; Enterobacterales; Enterobacteriaceae
Also listed under: 1 other name
Description: bacterial SSU rRNA
Rfam family: Bacterial small subunit ribosomal RNA
Source: RNAcentral